This is a long non-coding RNA of Pecten maximus, 647 nucleotides long. RefSeq lists it as uncharacterized. The record is from RefSeq and is a predicted model, not a curated record. The transcript has 3 exons. NCBI's taxonomy places the organism in Eukaryota, Metazoa, Mollusca, Bivalvia, Pectinida, Pectinidae.
AAACGGCAAAUCCAUUAAGAAAAUACUCUCUUAUGAAAAAUUCUUAUUGAAGUUUUGGCGAUAUAUAACCCCUAGAAUUAAAAAAUAAUAAUUUUCUGGGGAAUCCUCUCACUGUCGAAUGACGAGAUAAAAUGCAAAUUUCCCGCUUUGGGCGCAUGCGCAAGAAUCUAGGUUAGUAGAACGUAAACAUAUAUCGGCAGAAACAUGGCUUCCGAAGCCAAGAGAUGUCGGCCUAGAAUUGAAACGAGUUCGGCAACAAAGCGACGUAAACAGAAAUGGUCACAGGACAACCCGGUUAUAUGACUGGGGAAACAACACACUAGUUGGAAGACAUUCAAUGAAGAAAAUAGUUUCUCUACAAACGAGCAUGCAGCACGGAUUCUUCUGGAUAAGUGUGCACUUCAGUGACACAAAAAGUUCAUGCAGGUGAAGACAUCCCCACACCAGCUGGAACUUCUAUGGGACCGCCAUCACAUGUGUGCAUCCCUACACCAGUAACAUCUACGCCUACACAUGCCCAUAAAGAACCUAUAGCUAUAGAUAGACCUCCGAUGUCUCAGAUAUAGAAGCUCAGUCAUCACACUCGUCUGAUUUAUUAGCCCACCAUCAUCAGAUGGUGGGCUAUUCAAAUCGCCCUGCGUCCGUGG